GGUUUUCGGAUCGUAAAACUCUGUUGUCGGGGAAGAACAAGUAUGAUAGUAACUGAUCGUACCUUGACGGUACCCGACCAGAAAGCCACGGCUAACUACGUGCCAGCAGCCGCGGUNACAGGACAUCUAUCUGAAUACAUAGGGUAGAUGAGGCAGACCCGGGGAACUGAAACAUCUCAGUACCUGGAGGAAGAGAAAGAAAAAUCGAUUUCCUGAGUAGCGGCGAGCGAAACGGAAAGAGCCCAAACCAGGAAGCUUGCUUCCUGGGGUUGUAGGACACUCUAACGUGAGUUACAAAGAAAUUCUUUAAAUGAAUCGACUUGGAAAGGUCAGCCAAAGAAGGUAACAGCCCUGUAGUUGAAAAGGAAUUUCCUCCGGAGUGUAUCCUGAGUACGGCGGAACACGUGGAAUUCCGUCGGAAUCCGGGAGGACCAUCUCCCAAGGCUAAAUACUACCUAGUGACCGAUAGUGAACCAGUACCGUGAGGGAAAGGUGAAAAGCACCCCGGGAGGGGAGUGAAAUAGAACCUGAAACCGUGUGCCUACAAGUAGUCGGAGCCCGUUAAUGGGUGACGGCGUACCUUUUGUAGAAUGGACCGGCGAGUUACGAUCGUAUGCAAGGUUAAGUGGAAGACACGGAGCCGUAGCGAAAGCGAGUCUGAAUAGGGCGAAGGAGUAUGCGGUCGUAGACCCGAAACUGUGUGAUCUACCCAUGUCCAGGGUGAAGGUCAGGUAACACUGACUGGAGGCCCGAACCCACGUAUGUUGAAAAAUGCGGGGAUGAGGUGUGGGUAGCGGUGAAAUUCCAAUCGAACACAGAGAUAGCUGGUUCUCUCCGAAAUAGCUUUAGGGCUAGCCUCAAGAUAGUGAGUACUGGAGGUAGAGCACUGAUUGGACUAGGGGCCCCUACCGGGUUACCGAAUUCAGUCAAACUCCGAAUGCCAGUUACUUCAACUUGGGAGUCAGACUAUGGGUGAUAAGGUUCAUAGUCGAAAGGGAAACAGCCCAGACCGCCAGCUAAGGUCCCAAAAUAUACGUUAAGUGGAAAAGGAUGUGGCGUUGCACAGACAACCAGGAUGUUGGCUUAGAAGCAGCCAUCAUUGAAAGAGUGCGUAAUAGCUCACUGGUCGAGUGACGCUGCGCCGAAAAUGUACCGGGGCUAAACGUAUUACCGAAGCUGCGGAUUGUUCUUACGAACAAUGGUAGGAGAGCGUUCAAAGUGCAGAGAAGUCAGACCGUGAGGACUGGUGGAGCGCUUUGAAGUGAGAAUGCCGGUAUGAGUAGCGAAAAAAGAGUGAGAAUCUCUUUCACCGAAUGCCUAAGGUUUCCUGAGGAAGGCUCGUCCUCUCAGGGUUAGUCGGGACCUAAGCCGAGGCCGACAGGCGUAGGCGAUGGACAACAGGUUGAUAUUCCUGUACCACCUCAUGAUCGUUUGAACAAUGGGGGGACGCAGGAGGAUAAGGAGUGCGCACUGAUGGAUGUGCGUCCAAGCAUGCGAGGAAGUCAGACAGGCAAAUCCGUCUGAUAUAUUUCUGAGCUGUGACGGGGAGGGAAAUAGAGUACCGAAGUUCCUGAUUUCACACUGCCAAGAAAAGCCUCUAGUUAGAUCAUAGGUGCCCGUACCGCAAACCGACACAGGUAGGCGAGGAGAGAAUCCUAAGGUGAGCGGGAGAACUCUCGUUAAGGAACUCGGCAAAAUGACCCCGUAACUUCGGGAGAAGGGGUGCUCACUUGUGAGUGAGCCGCAGUGAAUAGGCCCAAGCGACUGUUUAGCAAAAACACAGGUCUCUGCGAAGCCGAAAGGCGAAGUAUAGGGGCUGACACCUGCCCGGUGCUGGAAGGUUAAGGGGAAGAGUUAGCUCUUCGGAGCGAAGCUUUGAACCGAAGCCCCAGUAAACGGCGGCCGUAACUAUAACGGUCCUAAGGUAGCGAAAUUCCUUGUCGGGUAAGUUCCGACCCGCACGAAAGGUGCAACGACUUGGGCACUGUCUCAACGAGAGACCCGGUGAAAUUAUACUAUGCGUGAAGAUGCGCAUUACCCGCGACAGGACGGAAAGACCCCGUGGAGCUUUACUGUAGCCUGAUAUGGAAUGUUUGUGCAGUUUGUACAGGAUAGGUGGGAGCCUUUGAAGCGUGAGCGCCAGCUUACGUGGAGGCACCCGUGGGAUACCACCCUAACUGUAUGACCAUUCUAACCCAGGACCGUAAUCCGGUUCGGAGACAGUGUCAGGCGGGCAGUUUGACUGGGGCGGUCGCCUCCUAAAAGGUAACGGAGGCGCCCAAAGGUUCCCUCAGAAUGGUUGGAAAUCAUUCGUAGAGUGUAAAGGCAGAAGGGAGCUUGACUGCGAGACCUACAAGUCGAGCAGGGACGAAAGUCGGGCUUAGUGAUCCGGUGGUUCCGCAUGGAAGGGCCAUCGCUCAACGGAUAAAAGCUACCCCGGGGAUAACAGGCUUAUCUCCCCCAAGAGUUCACAUCGACGGGGAGGUUUGGCACCUCGAUGUCGGCUCAUCGCAUCCUGGGGCUGUAGUCGGUCCCAAGGGUUGGGCUGUUCGCCCAUUAAAGCGGUACGCGAGCUGGGUUCAGAACGUCGUGAGACAGUUCGGUCCCUAUCCGUCGUGGGCGUUGGAAGUUUGAGAGGAGCUGUCCUUAGUACGAGAGGACCGGGAUGGACACACCGCUGGUGUACCAGUUGUUCCGCCAGGAGCAUAGCUGGGUAGCUACGUGUGGAAAGGAUAAGUGCUGAAAGCAUCUAAGCAUGAAGCCCCCCUCAAGAUGAAACUUCCCAUCACUUCAAGUGAGUAAAAUCCCUCAGAGACGAUGAGGUUGAUAGGUCCGAGGUGGAAGCGUGGCGACACGUGCAGCUGACGGAUACUAAUCGAUUGAGGACUUAUCU
Molecule: ribosomal RNA, 2893 nt
Filed under: Oceanobacillus sojae
Lineage: Bacteria; Bacillati; Bacillota; Bacilli; Caryophanales; Bacillaceae
Description: bacterial LSU rRNA
Rfam family: Bacterial large subunit ribosomal RNA
Source: RNAcentral